GCCGGGGUGGCCGAGCGGACUAAGGCGGCGGACGCCCGAUCCGCUGCCCCUCUGGGGGCGCCCGGGUUCGAAUCCCGGCCCCGGCGCCA
RNAcentral lists this transfer RNA (89 nucleotides) under Thermofilum sp. RNAcentral describes it as "tRNA-Gly". It matches the Rfam family "tRNA". From Rfam's summary of the family: Transfer RNA (tRNA) molecules are approximately 80 nucleotides in length. Their secondary structure includes four short double-helical elements and three loops (D, anti-codon, and T loops). Lineage: Archaea; Thermoproteati; Thermoproteota; Thermoprotei; Thermofilales; Thermofilaceae. The record is from RNAcentral.